CAGCUGAGUAAUGGCCGUGGAUUCCGAUCUGUGUGGAUGGAAAGAGCUGUGUCUUCCGGAUGGGAAAAACCAGGCAGGUGUGGCGUAAAAAGGAUUUGGUCGAAAUCGGGAGUCUAGCGCGAUAAAGAGUUUGGCAUCCUUCACCAACGGCAGGCACCGCCUCAAAAUGGAAGACUACGACACGCUGCAUCCGCAAAAGGCCGUUUUCGUCAAGGAGAGUCAACUCGACUUUCAUUCCAGCUUUCUCUCCACCAUCGUCGAUCGUCCGCAGAAAACUCUUCCGCAGCGGAAUGAAAGUUCGAUUCCGGGUGAUCCUAUAACGCAAUUAAAUCUGAAACUUUACACGGAUACAAUCACCGUCUCGCUGCGCAACGAAUAUAGAAGCCUCAAGUGCACCACCAUCGUAGUGGUCACGAAGUCGUAGAGCACAUCCAUCGCCACGGAAGUUCUCACGCUGAGACCAUCAUCGCGGAAAACAGAUUCAAAGUGGGGAUCAGCACGGGGCGGAUUCACGCCAGAGGAUCAGUGGGCGUCGGAAGGUCUGCUCACCUUCAAGAGGAUCCUAUUGGCGGGUUGGGCGAGGCGGCUUCAGAUUUCGCUCCCAAUUGCGGCAAACGUUUCCCUCGUCAAUCGCUGCCACUCGAUGACUGAGAGCCCCAAGCCAAUUGACGUCAUCUCAAUAAAUUUUCUUUCUUUUUUUUGUAAACGUGUGGAUAGCUUACCA
This 724-nucleotide long non-coding RNA is filed under the name Daphnia pulex (common water flea). RNAcentral describes it as "uncharacterized LOC124201180". The record is from RNAcentral. Lineage: Eukaryota; Metazoa; Arthropoda; Branchiopoda; Diplostraca; Daphniidae.